GCUAAAAGGCCUACUUCUCUAGUGAACAAGCAACUAGCUCUGCAAGGCAUUGAAGAAGGAGCAGCAGGCUUCGAGGGCCCCUUUAAGGAAAGGAAAAGUGAGAACAGAGGGCGAGCUUUCUUCUUCCGGGGAGAGCUUCCUGCCCUGUAACUGCUCCAGACAUUCAGAGCCGUGGCCUGAGGAAAAGAGGGAGAGAGGUCAGUGAGGCAGUGGUGCCAGAUAACACUCGUGACCCCUCCAGAAAGCACAGACACACAUUCUACAGGUCGUGUGAGUCUCUAGGAAGAGGACCUGAAGGAAAUUCAAACUAAGACCGGGUCCUCCAUCUGUGAGGUAACACCCCGGUGGCUAGGGAACGAUGGCCAUCGGGAUGGUCACCCCAUGAAGAUGACUGGGUGUUGAGGCUGGGAGUGGGGCCCCCAGGACCCUCCCUCCACAGAGGUUCCGGCUCCUGCAGGCGGCCUGGAUGGUCCAGAUGUGGGGCCCCGAUACACUCCGUGAGCACGCAGACCAAGCAAAAGGCUCCCCAAAAUGAAUCCAGCUCCCCCUAGAGACCAAUAAGGACCUCAUUUCCUCCUGAGCCUCUGGCCAUGGAAUCACAGAAGGGAAUCGUGAAUGAGGGAUCCAUUGUGGAAUAUGAAGCACAGAAUUAAUCAGAAAACACAGACACAGUUUUGGACAAAGACGCUGCCUCCUUGGGAAAAUUUUUAAAUAGCAUGCAUUAAAAAAAUAAAAAAUUCAGCAGCAAUUCUCUCCCUAUUACAGGAACAACACAGGGAAUGAAAACACAAGCUAAAACGAAAAACAGGACUGGCUACACAAUUUGGGGGUUUAUAUAAUAUAAUUUAUAUUUUUAAUUCGUCAUAUCAUUCUGACACAGCAAAGGCCUGGUGUCUGGGACUGAGUGAUGUGACAGUCCUUUGUCUCUUUAAUCCAGGACGAGCUGCAUAAUUUGCUGACCCCAGCACAGAAUGAGAAUGUGGAGUACCCUGUUCAAAAAUUAUUAAGAAUUUCAAGAGGGCUACGGCAGAGCAUUAAACCAAGGGCAGGCCCUUCUGAGUCUGGGAUCCUGUGUGGCUGCACAGCUCACACACCAUGGAGCCAGCCCCGCGAAGAAAGCUAAUGCUUCAGCAUCCAUGUAGUAACAGCCCACAAGAGACAACUGUGAACAGCUCAGCCAAGGAGCCACCUAGCAUAAUUCCAACUUCUCACUCAUUACUCUUCAAAGUUCACUCUUUCUCCUCUAAACUUUGGACUUCAGAAAGUCUGCUUUAGCAUUGCAGAAGUACUGUAUCUAAAAUGGGCAGUUUCUCCAGGCAGACAAAGCCAUUUCUUCUUGACUCUUCUCCAAACUUUCAUCUAUUCUAGUCCUGGCAAGCUUGGCUGCGCUGUUCAUUGGGCCUUUUCCUGUGCUCGAGUCAAGUCAUUAUCCUCUUUUUAUAUACUGCACUUCGUGCCCUUGUGAACCUG
Equus quagga is the source of this 1470-nucleotide long non-coding RNA. RefSeq lists it as uncharacterized. NCBI's taxonomy places the organism in Eukaryota, Metazoa, Chordata, Mammalia, Perissodactyla, Equidae. The record is from RefSeq and is a predicted model, not a curated record. The transcript has 3 exons.